Molecule: ribosomal RNA, 276 nt
Filed under: uncultured bacterium
Lineage: Bacteria
Description: partial 16S ribosomal RNA
Rfam family: Bacterial small subunit ribosomal RNA
Source: RNAcentral
ACUCCUACGGGAGGCAGCAGUGGGGAAUUUUGGACAAUGGGCGCAAGCCUGAUCCAGCAAUGCCGCGUGCAGGAUGAAGGCCUUCGGGUUGUAAACUGCUUUUGUACGGAACGAAAAGUCUUGGGUUAAUACCCUGGGAUCAUGACGGUACCGUAAGAAUAAGCACCGGCUAACUACGUGCCAGCAGCCGCGGUAAUACGUAGGGUGCAAGCGUUAAUCGGAAUUACUGGGCGUAAAGCGUGCGCAGGCGGUUUUGUAAGACAGUGGUGAAAUCCC